Molecule: long non-coding RNA, 1885 nt
Filed under: Schizosaccharomyces pombe (fission yeast)
Lineage: Eukaryota; Fungi; Ascomycota; Schizosaccharomycetes; Schizosaccharomycetales; Schizosaccharomycetaceae
Source: RNAcentral
CAGAUGUUAAAUUUUGUUUGUUUCUUCUCUAGAAAUUAGAGAAGUAUUGACAUGAAGUAGCUCGUCUACACUAUACGAAAAGAUGCACAGAUUAUGAAAACAAUUGAUCCCCUCCUAUGAUGAAAAAAGGAUGCGGAAGGUAUUACAGAAGUUUUUCUUCUUUAAGAAAGAAAAUAAGAAUGGUGUCCCUAAGCUAUAUGGCACGUAUAGCAAGGGUGUCGAGAAAUUUUCGGAAAAAAUUGUAAACCCUCCAACAAUCGGUUGUAUUCACAAUUGAAAUUAAGAAUUGGAAGAGUUUCUCUCACGAAAACCUAUUACCUUGGCGUUUAGCUUUUCGAGAAAAAGAAAAUUGCACGGUCAUACAAUUUCGCGAUUUUUCAAAAGAAGGAUGGCAAAGAAAGAUAUUUCCAAAGAGGCGAAACCUCUUAAAUCUAAUUUACAAACGAUAAAUAAAAAGCGCGAAAAACUUGCACACGAGCAAAAGUCCAAUUUAUAUAUUGGAAUGGAAGAUAGAGUAGAAAAUGGGAAACGCGAAUAAAGUACUCUUUUUCCUUCAUAUAUUGUGAUACCUUGGGCCAUCCGACUCAGAUAACAAGAUGAUACCUUUAACCCGUUGUUACCGUAGCACUCGCUGAAUCAAGGUACUUAACGACUGUCGGUAAACGGAGUCGUGCGCCGUUUACCGAUGAGGGAUACGUAAUCGCACAUUAGGACACCUUCAAUCUCCCUAUAUCUUUUGGAUAGAUCGAGAAAUUGCUAGAGGAAAGAUGGAACGGGAUUGCAUUAAAAAAUAGAGGCAAUAAAUUAAAAAUGUUUCAAUCAAGAGUUCAAAGAUUAUUACAGAUUUACUACUCAUUUCUGUAAAGCAAUGGUUAUUGCGCUGUCUCGACUGCUGUUAUUUACCUGACACACUAGGGGCACACACUAGGGGCACACAUUGGCGGCAACCCGAAUGGAAUACAAAAAAUGCAAAUUUUGAUUUCAAUCGACCAAUGCUAUAAAUGAAAAAGACAAAUAAAAUCGAAUCAUAUAAAAAAACAGAAUAAAUAAUGAGACAGACAGUGGAAAUGAUCCAGCGGCAUCGAGAAUUUAAAAAAUCGGCUCUUCUCUAAUAGUAUCUUUUUGCAUUUGCAACGGAGCGCAUAUUACAAAUCUAAGGUUGAAUACUAAUUAUUACGAAUAAUAAGCUAUAAAACUAUUUUUUUUGGAAAUAAACAGCUAUUUAGAUUAGAGUACAUGAGUACUACUGUUAGUAAACAAAACGACAUUCACUCUCUAUAUUUAUGGCAAAUUUUUAACAGCUAAUUUUAACAAUUUCUUGAGUUGCCACUCAAAGUAUAAAGAGAUAUGCCUUCUUCGAUUUACUUGUUGAAACUACCAAUUUAAAUAAUAGCUGCUAACGGCUUCUAGUGAUAUUCCUUAAACGGCAAUCGCCAUUUUAAGGAAGAAAGGCCAAUUGGUCGCACUAAUAAGGACCUGAUUUGAAGCCGCUGUAAAAUAGGGUUUUCCCUUUUUUGCUGAGUUCGCGUGAAGGUUGUAGGCGAAAUAAAGUGACAAUAUACAUUCAAAAUACAGACUUCAUUAUGGGAACUUUCAUUUUCUUUAUAGUGGUAGCAGGAUAACCUAGCCUUUGUGUAUAAGGUGAUAUCCUUUUACAGAGGUUAGCUAUGGAUUCUUGUAAUACAGCCAAAAGUACGUACAUAAAUUUUGAGUAAAAAAUUCGGGUAUGGUUGAAGGAGGCGUAAACGGAAGCAUUUUCUUGGCGUUAAUUGAACAUGUUUCGCACUUUAGUCUUCUUACUAUGUCAUGAAAAGAGCUAUUUUAAUUAUUGUACGGGGUGGCUUGCUAAAUAUUGAUCUGCUAGAUAUAAAAUUAAUAAAUAAAU